Molecule: long non-coding RNA, 314 nt
Filed under: Sus scrofa (pig)
Lineage: Eukaryota; Metazoa; Chordata; Mammalia; Artiodactyla; Suidae
Description: lncRNA (ENSSSCG00070000840.1)
Source: RNAcentral
CAAAAGUUUGUGUAAAAUUUUAUGAUAUAGCAAGUGAAGAUCGAAAGAAAAGGCUGGAUUUUUUGAAGAAAGGAACACAGCUGAAUUAUCAACGUCACUGUUUGAAUUCAACAGAAGUAAUACUUUCUACCUCUUCGACCACACUGAUAUUACCGUUACAUAUCCUGGGGAAAGUGAAACAAAUUGGGCUAUUGCAAGUUUGGUUACUGCUUGACUUGAUCUCAAAAGCUGACAUAUGCAUGCAAGAAAACGUUCAUCUGAUCGCAGUAAAACUCGUUUAUUGGGGCCUCCUGAGAACAAGGUCCGUAUUAUAA